CAGGAUGCCCAUUUAAACUUGAAUUUCAAAUAAAUGACCAAUUAUUUUAGUACAUGUAUGUCCCAUGCAGUAUUUGGGACAUAUUUAUACUAAAACACUAUUCAUUAUUUAUCUGGAAGUCAAAUUUCUGAUGAAUUC
This 138-nucleotide microRNA precursor is filed under the name Otolemur garnettii (small-eared galago). RNAcentral's name for it is "miRNA (ENSOGAG00000022850.2)". The stretch from base 44 to 95 matches the Rfam family "mir-1302 microRNA precursor family". Lineage: Eukaryota; Metazoa; Chordata; Mammalia; Primates; Galagidae. The record is from RNAcentral.